Molecule: long non-coding RNA, 411 nt
Filed under: Capsicum annuum
Lineage: Eukaryota; Viridiplantae; Streptophyta; Magnoliopsida; Solanales; Solanaceae
Description: long non-coding RNA (CANN_LNC005894)
Source: RNAcentral
GUUCUAAAAACGUGAUUCUUAAAGCCUAGUGAAGCUGUGUGUGGCCUAUUUCUAUUCACUAGCACUUGUUAUUUUUGGUGUUAGUUUGUUCAUCUUGUUGUUCUUGCUGGAUUAUUACAUUGUGGACUUGAUAUUGUAUCAUUUGGUAUCAAAGCAAGGCUGGUUGUUUUCCUACACUACCAAUCUUGGGCUCUCUUGGACGAAAAUUCAAAAAAAAAAUUGUUGAAAUCUGAAAAUUCCAAAAAAAGAAAAAGAGAAAUCUGUCCAUCUUGUUGUCUUUGCCAAUAUUGGCGUUUGUGUGUUUAGAUCUAGGUGUUAUUUUAUUUUUUUAGUGUGUUUCUAGUGUUGUUUUCUUUUCACCAACACUAAAAAUGUCUAGAUCUAAAGUUGAGCUUAUAAAAUUGACCAUUG